GCGUCCGUAGCUCAGUUGGUUAGAGCACCACCUUGACAUGGUGGGGGUCGGUGGUUCGACUCCACUCGGACGCACCA
Molecule: transfer RNA, 77 nt
Filed under: Escherichia coli
Lineage: Bacteria; Pseudomonadati; Pseudomonadota; Gammaproteobacteria; Enterobacterales; Enterobacteriaceae
Description: tRNA-Val
Rfam family: tRNA
About the family: Transfer RNA (tRNA) molecules are approximately 80 nucleotides in length. Their secondary structure includes four short double-helical elements and three loops (D, anti-codon, and T loops).
Source: RNAcentral